AUGGCGUAAACAUCGCUAUUAUAUAUAUAUAUAUAAGAGUGCAGAAAUUGCCAAUAUUUUAUUUUUAUCGUAUCUAACUUUAAACUCAGUGGCGGAUUUAGCACUUGAGAGGCUCCAGGCGCAAUUCAAUUUUGAGGCCUCCCUCUAAUAUUUUCACUAAUCCUAAGCUCUAAAGUACGCAAGAUUUUUACUCUGGAAAAAUUAGAAGAAUUAUAGAUAAAGAAGUGAAUUAUCAGAAGAAAUAUAAACAUAAAUGAAUUUUAUUCCAUUAAAGUUCUAUCAAUUGAAUUGGCAUUGACAGCGAAGAAUAGUGAAGGGCCUAUAUAAAGAGAGAGGAACAAGUGCAUAACAACUUAGUGCAUAGCUAGAAACUAAAUUAAGACAUUUAAGAUAGGAACUGUUUGUAAGGUGACACAAGUUGGAUCUGAGUGACUGAGCAACUUGGAGAGGCUAAUGGACAAGUGCUGUAUCCCAGCCAAGCGUGUUGUUUUUGAGGGGACGUCACAGAAAGAACAACAUAGGAGUUGCUGUAACGAAGUACACACGUGUCGCAUUGAAUCUCUCCCUAGUGUUUCCCACGGCAUGAGACAUGAAGUUCCUUAAUGGAAGCACGUGUCUCUCUUUUACUUAUUUUCUACGUAAAAAGAAGAAAUUUAAAAAGAAAAAAAAAAAUAUAAAGUACAGAAAGGAAACAGAGUAACCCUCAAAACGAUGUUUGACGAAUUGAUCUCCUUUAUUUUGUUUAACCUUCUGACAAGUAAUUUAUGCUAAUAAGUCGCCGUGAGAUCACACAGAAUCGUUUCGACGAGAGGAAGAUGCCUAAUUGCUGAAGGCUACUGUAUAAGAUGAGGAAGAGAGAUGCUUACUUUAGGAGAAAAGAGAGAGAAGUGAGAAGGAGAUGUUUGCUUUAUUCUACGAGAGAGAUAGAGAAUGUGAUGCUUACUUUGAUGGAGGAGAGUUAAGGGAAAAAGAUUUUUUUCUUUAGAAGAAGAGGAAGAGGAGAAUUGUCUCGGAUGUUUAAACAGAUAAAUCACGCUAUUCGAAUGCAGUAAAGUGAAGGUAAAAAAAUUAGUUAUUGGAGACAGAUGCCACCUAUGGAAAUUUAUCUUUCGAUUACUCUGUUAAGUGGCUACAAACUGCAGGCGCCAGACAAACAAUGAAGGUCUAACACCACCCAGGUAGCAGAAUCAAAUACGGAUCUCCAACUGUUCGAACACCCCAGUUAAUGGCAACCUCCUGGAACGAACAGCUACUUCGCUGUUGGACCCCAGACUGGUAAGUGAUAAAACGGCUUGCCCCAAGGGGUCCUGGCAUCAGAUCGCUACUACUGGCGCCACGUGGUGCUUAUGCAUCCAGCUGUUGCUGUAGGGUAAUGCUCAUUUUCACUUCCCUAAUAUAGGUUUAAUGCCGGACAGACACAGGAUUAGCUAUUCAUUAUUUUCCAUUGGCCAAUAACUGAAAGGAGUGGAAUAAAUAAACAGAUCUUAAUGAAUUGUUAACUAAUGGGCCUUAAGGAUGGGAAAAUUGGUUCGAGUUAACUGAAUUUGUAAGAAGAUACGUCAUUUGUAUGGGAUUAGUUACGCGUGUCAUAAUAUAACAGGAGAGAAUCCUAUUUUUAGUUAGAAUGCUAAGAGUGAUUCAUCUUAAGUGAAGAAACGAUUAAAAUUAGAUUUUGAACAUAAGUAAUUAUGUCUAAAUAUCUUGCCGAUUAAGCAAUUAACUUUGAGAAGUUCUUAAGUUUAAGAAAGUAAAUAAAUAAACAAUUAGUUUCUCUAAACUUGGGGAUAAUGUCAGAAGAUGUAUGAUAGUUAAAGGUAAAAUAGCUAAAAAAAUAGAUUUAGAAGUGUAAAAAUCUAAAAAUUUCCAUACAAUACGUAAGAGAA
RNAcentral lists this long non-coding RNA (1883 nucleotides) under Centruroides sculpturatus (bark scorpion). RNAcentral describes it as "uncharacterized LOC111634428, transcript variant X2". Lineage: Eukaryota; Metazoa; Arthropoda; Arachnida; Scorpiones; Buthidae. The record is from RNAcentral.